CUUAUUUUCUGCUGCUGUCCCGUCAGUUGCAUUUUAUUUAUGGCGUGAGACGAUAUUGUCAUUUUUAUUUUUGUUCGUGUUUGUCGGCGUGUGUAUCAAGGAGCACUAGAAAGACGGGUGCGGGAGCAUUAUCGUGACAUCAGCAUCUCAGGCCACAGUGUGCUUGUGUGUAUCGUGUUAGCAGUUGAGUGUGUUUGUGAGUGUCAUGUGAGCCAAGUACUGUAGUUGAGAGUUGUAAAACAAGUACAUUGUAUUGUGCAAGCCACUUAUAUAGUGACUGUCGAAGUGUGCACAUGGUUCAACAGGUUUUCGUGAUUUUAUACAGAUGUGUUUAUAAGUAAAUACUCAAGAAGAUUUUGUGAAACAUUGAAAUGCCCCGCAAGUGCAGUGUAUUUGAAUACAGAUUGAAUUACAAAUUGGAAACUGGGAAACCAACAAUAUUUUCACUGCCAUCCGAUGAAAAUCGCCGUAAUUUGUGGCUUCGUCACAUCCCAGCUGGUUCUUCAAAACUAAAACAACCAGGUGUAUUUCGACGAAUCGUACAUAAUUCGAGUAGACAGACUUAUGGACAAAGGUGAACUAAAAGUGUUAUCACGAAUAAUCCCUAAACUAACAGAAGAUGUCGUGCCAACUUAAUUUCCAAAGACGCCAUCCUAUUGUUCUGAAACAGUCAGAAAAACAAAACACUUUUCUGAUGUAGAAGACAACGUGCGAAAAGCCAUUCAAGAUAGUAUAGAUUCCAAUAAGAACUCUUGCGCAGGAAGCACUAAAAAGUGUAAAUGACAUAAGUUCACUUCUAGACACCAGAAAAAUUAGUAGUAGUAAGUGGUCAGUCUGUCCCAUCAAAUGUUGCUCUUUCUCCAAAGACAUUUCAAUCCUUGAUUUUACCCAUACAGUCCUCUCUUGAAAGUAGUUUCAUAUUUAUUUGACAAACAUGGAUUUGAUUAAUUUCUGCCAGGGAAAUUUCAAUCUGAUAAUUUUGAAAGUUGAUUUGGGUCAUACCAUCAACAGAGUGAUGCCAAUUAUUAUGUAAGUUACAUUCAGGUAUUAGAAAAUGAAAGAAAGCUUUGAUUUAAUAAUAAUAGCUUUGAUUUAAUAAUAAUGUACUGUUUGCUACUCAUAAUGACACUGUACAGCUGAAAACUUUAAUUCCUAUUCAGCAGAGCAAAGAUCGGAGUGUUUAUAUACAUAUGUUUGCAGAUAUAUUAAAUGAGAGUUUCAAAAUAGAGGAAAUUGGUCAUGAUGCCAUACCUAUAGUGACCCACGUGGGAGGUUAUACGCUUAGAAAAGUCUUAGAGAAAUCAAAAUGUGAAUUAAACAGAGGUAGACUAAUUUUGCCCUCUGAGGAAGUGGUAUUUACUGUGGCUCUGGCAUGGCACACAGUUUCUUCACUUUUGAAAAAGUAGCAUUUCAUGACGUGGGGAAACAGCUUUCAGUUGCACGUGAUAUUAGUUACAGAAGAGUGGUCACUAAGGUCAUUGAUGCUAGAUGCAAAUGUGUGUUGCAUAACACCCUGUUAAACAAAUUAGAGAGUAUUUCCCUGUGUACAAACAAGAUUCUUCUUAAUAAUUUUGACAGGCUUUAUAAUGAUAAAAGAAUAGAUUUCAAUUAUAGUUCCAGAAAAAUUGGAAAAUUUAAGUUGUUCUACUCGCAUAAUACAGAACUGUGUAACACAUAAAUGUGGUCACUGCAUUGUAAAUAAAUAUAAUUGUGUAUUA
RNAcentral lists this long non-coding RNA (1718 nucleotides) under Schistocerca americana (American grasshopper). RNAcentral describes it as "uncharacterized LOC124551136, transcript variant X2". Lineage: Eukaryota; Metazoa; Arthropoda; Insecta; Orthoptera; Acrididae. The record is from RNAcentral.